AUUGAACGCUGGCGGCAGGCUUAACACAUGCAAGUCGAGCGGUAGCACAGGGGAGCUUGCUCCCUGGGUGACGAGCGGCGGACGGGUGAGUAAUGUCUGGGAAACUGCCUGAGGGAGGGGGAUAACUACUGGAAACGGUAGCUAAUACCGCAUAACGUCGCAAGACCAAAGAGGGGGACCUUCGGGGCUCUUGCCAUCAGAUGUGCCCAGAUGGGAUUAGCUAGUAGGUGGGGUAAUGGCUCACCUAGGCGACGAUCCCUAGCUGGUCUGAGAGGAUGACCAGCCACACUGGAACUGAGACACGGUCCAGACUCCUACGGGAGGCAGCAGUGGGGAAUAUUGCACAAUGGGCGCAAGCCUGAUGCAGCCAUGCCGCGUGUGUGAAGAAGGCCUUCGGGUUGUAAAGCACUUUCAGCGAGGAGGAAGGUGGUGAGCUUAAUACGUUCAUCAAUUGACGUUACUCGCAGAAGAAGCACCGGCUAACUCCGUG
RNAcentral lists this ribosomal RNA (490 nucleotides) under uncultured bacterium. RNAcentral describes it as "partial 16S ribosomal RNA". It matches the Rfam family "Bacterial small subunit ribosomal RNA", at positions 30 to 507 of the family's 1533-position model. The record is from RNAcentral.